RNAcentral lists this transfer RNA (96 nucleotides) under Colletotrichum zoysiae. Its description in RNAcentral is "tRNA-Pro". It matches the Rfam family "tRNA". From Rfam's summary of the family: Transfer RNA (tRNA) molecules are approximately 80 nucleotides in length. Their secondary structure includes four short double-helical elements and three loops (D, anti-codon, and T loops). Further hydrogen bonds mediate the characteristic L-shaped molecular structure. tRNAs have two regions of fundamental functional importance: the anti-codon, which is responsible for specific mRNA codon recognition, and the 3' end, to which the tRNAs corresponding amino acid is attached (by aminoacyl-tRNA synthetases). tRNAs cope with the degeneracy of the genetic code in two manners: having more than one tRNA (with a specific anti-codon) for a particular amino acid; and 'wobble' base-pairing, i.e. permitting non-standard base-pairing at the 3rd anti-codon position. The record is from RNAcentral. Lineage: Eukaryota; Fungi; Ascomycota; Sordariomycetes; Glomerellales; Glomerellaceae.
GGCUCAAUGGUCUAGAGGUAUGAUUCUCGCUUUGGGUUGCGUCGAGCACGUCGACUUGCCUGCGAGAGGCCCCGGGUUCGAUCCCCGGUUGAGCCC